Molecule: ribosomal RNA, 406 nt
Filed under: uncultured bacterium
Lineage: Bacteria
Description: partial 16S ribosomal RNA
Rfam family: Bacterial small subunit ribosomal RNA
Source: RNAcentral
CUUGAACGCUGGCGGCAGGCCUAACACAUGCAAGUAGAACGAGUGGCGGACGGGUGAGUAAUGUCUGGGAAACUGCCUGAUGGAGGGGGAUAACUACUGGAAACGGUAGCUAAUACCGCAUACCAUCGGAUGUGCCCAGAUGGGAUUAGCUAGUUGGGGGGGUAACGGCUCACCUAGGCGACGAUCCCUAGCUGGUCGGAGAGGAUGACCAGCCACACUGGAACUUAGACACGGUCGAGACGCCUACGGUGGGCAGGAGUGGGGAAUAUUGCAAAAUGGGCGCAAGCUUGAUGCAGCCAUGCAGAGUGUAUGAAGAAGGCCUUCGGGUUGUAAAGUACUUUCAGCGGGGAGGCGUUACCCGCAGAAGAAGCACCGGCUAACUCCGUGCCAGCAGCCGCGGUAAUUC